AGUGAAAGCUGGCGGUAGGCCUAACACAUGCAACUCGAACGGCAGCACAGUAAGAGCUUGCUCUUACGGGUGGCGAGUGGCGGACGGGUGAGGAAUACAUCGGACUCUACUUUUUCGUGGGGGAUAACGUAGGGAAACUUACGCUAAUACCGCAUACGACCUACGGGUGAAAGCAGGGGAUCUUCGGCCCUCGCGCGAUUGAAUGAGCCGAUGUCGGUUUAGCUAGUUGGCGGGGUAAAGGCCCACCAAGGCGACGAUCCGUAGCUGGUCUGAGAGGAUGAUCAGCCCCACUGGAACUAGGACACGGUCCAGACUCCUACGGGAGGCAGCAGUGGGGAAUAAUGGACAGUGGGCGCAAACCUGAUCCAGCCAUACCGCAAAGGUGAAGAAGGCCUUCGGGUUCUAAAGCCCUUUUGUUGGGAAAGAAAAGCAGCCGGUUAAUACCCCGCUGUUCUGACGGUACCCAAAGAAUAAGCACGGGCUAACUUCGUG
This 492-nucleotide ribosomal RNA is filed under the name uncultured bacterium. RNAcentral's name for it is "partial 16S ribosomal RNA". It matches the Rfam family "Bacterial small subunit ribosomal RNA", at positions 29 to 507 of the family's 1533-position model. The record is from RNAcentral.